RNAcentral lists this transfer RNA (76 nucleotides) under Alphaproteobacteria bacterium. RNAcentral describes it as "tRNA-Phe". It matches the Rfam family "tRNA". From Rfam's summary of the family: Transfer RNA (tRNA) molecules are approximately 80 nucleotides in length. Lineage: Bacteria; Pseudomonadati; Pseudomonadota; Alphaproteobacteria. The record is from RNAcentral.
GGCUAGAUAGCUCAGUUGGUAGAGCAAAAGACUGAAAAUCUUUGUGUCGGGGGUUCGAUUCCCUCUCUAGCCACCA